GGAUUAGAUACCCUGGUAGUCCACGCCCUAAACGAUGAGUGCUAGACGUCGGAUUUUUUCGGUGUCUCAGCUAACGCGUUAAGCACUCCGCCUGGGGACUACGGUCGCAAGACUAAAACUUAAAGGAAUUGACGGGGGCCCGCACAAGCGGUGGAGCAUGUGGUUUAAUUCGACAAUACGCGAAAAACCUUACCAGACCUUGACAUGGAGAUCAUAAGCUUUAGAAAUAAGGCUGUCGGUUCGGCCGGAUCUCACACAGGUGCUGCAUGGCUGUCGUCAGCUCGUGCCG
Molecule: ribosomal RNA, 289 nt
Filed under: uncultured bacterium
Lineage: Bacteria
Description: partial 16S ribosomal RNA
Rfam family: Bacterial small subunit ribosomal RNA
Source: RNAcentral